RNAcentral lists this ribosomal RNA (481 nucleotides) under uncultured bacterium. RNAcentral describes it as "partial 16S ribosomal RNA". It matches the Rfam family "Bacterial small subunit ribosomal RNA", at positions 30 to 507 of the family's 1533-position model. The record is from RNAcentral.
AUUGAACGCUGGCGGCAUGCUUUACACAUGCAAGUCGAACGGUAACAGGCCGCAAGGUGCUGACGAGUGGCGAACGGGUGAGUAAUGCAUCGGAACGUGCCCAGUCGUGGGGGAUAACUACUCGAAAGAGUAGCUAAUACCGCAUACGAUCUAUGGAUGAAAGCGGGGGACCGUAAGGCCUCGCGCGAUUGGAGCGGCCGAUGUCAGAUUAGGUAGUUGGUGGGGUAAAGGCUCACCAAGCCAACGAUCUGUAGCUGGUCUGAGAGGACGACCAGCCACACUGGACUGAGACACGGCCCAGACUCCUACGGGAGGCAGCAGUGGGGAAUUUUGGACAAUGGGCGCAAGCCUGAUCCAGCAAUGCCGCGUGCAGGAAGAAGGCCUUCGGGUUGUAAACUGCUUUUGUACGGAACGAAACGGCUCUGGUUAAUACCCGGGGCUAAUGACGGUACCGUAAGAAUAAGCACCGGCUAACUACGUG